Molecule: ribosomal RNA, 449 nt
Filed under: uncultured bacterium
Lineage: Bacteria
Description: bacterial SSU rRNA
Rfam family: Bacterial small subunit ribosomal RNA
Source: RNAcentral
AGCGAACGCUGGCGGCAGGCUUAACACAUGCAAGUCGAACGGGCGUAGCAAUACGUCAGUGGCAGACGGGUGAGUAACGCGUGGGAACGUACCUUUUGGUUCGGAACAACCCAGGGAAACUUGGGCUAAUACCGGAUAAGCCCUUACGGGGAAAGAUUUAUCGCCGAAAGAUCGGCCCGCGUCUGAUUAGCUAGUUGGUGUGGUAACGGCGCACCAAGGCGACGAUCAGUAGCUGGUCUGAGAGGAUGAUCAGCCACAUUGGGACUGAGACACGGCCCAAACUCCUACGGGAGGCAGCAGUGGGGAAUAUUGGACAAUGGGCGCAAGCCUGAUCCAGCCAUGCCGCGUGAGUGAUGAAGGCCCUAGGGUUGUAAAGCUCUUUUGUGCGGGAAGAUAAUGACGGUACCGCAAGAAUAAGCCCCGGCUAACUUCGUGCCAGCAGCCGCAGU